Molecule: non-coding RNA, 635 nt
Organism: Rattus norvegicus (Norway rat)
Lineage: Eukaryota; Metazoa; Chordata; Mammalia; Rodentia; Muridae
Source: RefSeq, a predicted model, not a curated record
GCCCCCGACGCGGAGAAAUGACGUCACUCGAACCAGGGAGCGCCGCCUACCUUACAGAGGAGGUAACUGGCUGCCUGCCCAUCAUGCCCAGCGCCCCCCUUUGGUGGGAAAAUGACCGCCUAUCCGUCUGAAUCAGUCUAGUGAUACCCUUCGGGGAGUAAUUAACCUGCAGUCCGUUGACUACAGACACCAAGGGCUCCUUAAGGCGCCAAGGCACUCACAGGACAACCAUCUCAUAACAAAUUCCAUCUACUCCCUGAUAAGACAACUCUAAGCAUGUUUUUGGUUUUGAAAAAGCUGUCUAAUGUGUGAGUCAAACGUGAACAUUCAAACCCAGGUUGAAUGGAAUAAUAGUUCCAGUGGAACUUCUGAAACAAUGCCUUACAGAAAUUGUUAAGAGCUAGCACACACUCAAGACAUCCAAGGCAAUCAUUAUAAUUUGUUUUGUUUUGGGCUGGAGAGAUGGCUCAGUGGUUAAGAGCACUGACUGCUCUUCCAGAGGUCCUGAGUUCAAUUCCCAGCAACCACAUGGAGGCUCACAGCCAUCUGUAAUGAGAUCUGAUGUCCUCUUCUGGUGUGUCUGAAGACAGCUACAGUGUACUCAUAUUAAUAAAAAUAAAUAGAUCUCUAAAAAA